GGGCCCCCCUCGUUUCUUCUAGGUACGUUCAUCUUCUCUCACGCAUUGUAGGUUUAUCCCUAUACAAAACAACUCUUACAACCCAUAAGGCAGUCGUCCUUCACGCGGGAUGGCUGGUUCAGGUUCGCGCCUGCUGCCCAAUAUUCCUCACUGCUGCCUCCCGUAGGAUA
Molecule: ribosomal RNA, 170 nt
Filed under: uncultured bacterium
Lineage: Bacteria
Description: partial 16S ribosomal RNA
Source: RNAcentral